CAAUAGCGUAUAUUAAAGUUGUUGCAGUUAAAAAGCUCGUAGUUGGAUUUCUGGCUCAACGUGCCUGGCCCGCCGCAGUAAUGCGUGUGAGUGCCGGAGCGUGUUGGUCAUCCUUCCAGGUAGCGCGCCGGGUGCUUCAUUGUGCUUGGCGUUAGCGAACUGGAUCGUUUACUUUGAGUAAAUUAGAGUGUUUAAAGCAGGCUUAGGCUAUGAAUACAUUAGCAUGGAAUAAUAAUUUAGGACUUUGGUUUUAUUUUGUUGGUUUUGGAGACCGAAGUAAUGAUUGAUAGGGAUAGUUGGGGGUGCUCGUAUUCAGCGGCCAGAGGUGAAAUUCUUGGAUUCGCUGAAGACGAACUUAUGCGAAAGCAUUCACCAAGGAUGUCUUCUUUAAUCAAGAACGAAAGUUGGGGAUCGAAGAUGAUCAGAUACCGU
This 432-nucleotide ribosomal RNA is filed under the name uncultured eukaryote. RNAcentral describes it as "bacterial SSU rRNA". It matches the Rfam family "Eukaryotic small subunit ribosomal RNA", at positions 592 to 1018 of the family's 1831-position model. The record is from RNAcentral.